Molecule: long non-coding RNA, 2557 nt
Organism: Tripterygium wilfordii
Lineage: Eukaryota; Viridiplantae; Streptophyta; Magnoliopsida; Celastrales; Celastraceae
Exons: 2
Source: RefSeq, a predicted model, not a curated record
GCAACGAAAAAUAAUGAAAAAAGAACUAGGAUUUUAUCUCCAUCACCGACUUCGACGAAACAAUUUUUCGGAGGAUAAAAAGUAGAUUCUUUGAAAUAAUAUGAACUUCGAAGAAAUUGUGGAGGAAAUAGACCAAAAGGACCUGAGAGGGAAUGACAGAGAGAUCCCUUCGUCCCUGACUUGACGAUCGAGAUUGUCAAAUUCAAGGUGCCGAUAGAAUUCCAUUGCUCAAGAGAAGAACUUCGUGACUUCGCGAUCUCCAUAGCGAAUUAGGAGCGAUCGAAUCGAAUGGCAUCGUCUUCGAGCAGUGGACUGACGUUCUAGCUCCUCCAGGCACCAGCUGGUGAUAGUUGAAACGUAUCGGAUCACUGCACGAGUGGAAAUCCCAGAUUAACCACGUCAGCGGCAGCGACCACCGACAGCAGUCGCAGCCGACGGAUUGCGUAUGCAUUAUAGGGCAGAAGGGCAUAAUCGAGAUCUUCAACAGCUUUGAGCUCCUUUGCUAUCCCUCCACUCACUUCCUGGACCGCUCCUUCCUUGUGAGGAAGCAGCUUUGUAUGUUUCUUUUUUAUUCUCCUACAUUUUUGCAUUCUUUUUUUAUUUCUGUCAUUGUUUGUUGGCCGAUUUUAUUUGUUUGGAGCAUAUAAGAAGGUCUUCUAGCAUUUUUACGAUGUGUUCUUCUUGGAGUGAUUCCCAGGAGGCAGAUAUGCAUAUACACAAAGCUGGGUUAGGCAGGGUGAUCCCUUAUCGCCCUUCUUAUUCAUUUGGGGAAUGGAUAUUUUGAGUUGUAUGUUGGAUAGAGCAGUUUCGUAUGGCUUGCUUGAUGGAGCCAAGAUUGAAGGUAGAGCUAAUUCAGUCUCAAUUUCGAACCUGCUGUAUGCUGAUGACACGCUGUGUUUUUGUGGAGGUAGUGCGGAGUAAGUAGCUAAUCUCCGUGCCAUCCUGCUAGGCUUUGAAGCUAUCUCUGGUUUGAAGGUUAAUCUGAGUAAGAGUAAAAUCAUCCCUUUGGGAAACACUUCAAACGUUGAGCUCCUUACUGGGUACUUGGGUGUGGAGUCUCCAGCUUGCCUUCAAGCUAUCUUGGGCUUCCCUUGGGUGCUAAAUAUAAAGACCAGAGUAUUUGGAAUCCCUUGGUGGCAAAUUUUGAUAAAAAGCUUUCGAGAUGGAGGAGGAACUAUCUCUCUAAAGCAGGGAGGCUAACUCUCAUUAAAAGUACUCUAUCUAACCUCCCUGUCUACAUGUUGUCUAUUCUCCCCAUCCCCUCCUCCAUUGCUGGUAGGCUUGAGUCAAUUAUGUGCAGAUUCCUUUGGGGCGAUUUGAUGGAGAGUAGGAAAAUUCAUUUGGUGAAUUGGAGUUGUGUUAAGCUCUCAAAAGAGGUUGGAGGCCAUGGGAUAAAAUGCUUGAUCACAUUUAAUGAGGCCUUACUGGGUAAAUGGCUAUGGAGGUUUGCCAUCAACAAAGAUCAGUUGUGGCGGAAAUUAUUGCUUGCAAAUAUGGCACUGGCAUCUAUGGAUGGUCCACGAAGCAGAUCAAAGGGCCAUAUGGCCGCAGUAUGUGAAAAUAUAUAAUGAAAGGUUGGGCUGAUUGGUUUGCUUUAACCCACUUCCAAGCUGGCAGGGGCAACUCAAUAAGUUUCCGGAGUGAUCAUUGGACAGGAGACACCUCUCUGAAGGACUCUUUUCCUAAUUUAUACACUUUAGCAACCCUGAAGGAUGCUUCAAUUAUCCAAUUAUUUCAAGCCUCUGCUGGAUAGUUUUCUGGGAAUAUCAACUUCACUCGUGAGGCACAAGAUUGGGAAGUGGUGACUUUCACAAACUUCUGGAGCCUCGUCUAUAGUGCAAAGAUCAAUCCUGCUUGUGAGGAUAAAAUUUGUUGGAAGGCUGCAAAAAACAACUAUUUUUCUGUGAGUUCUUUCUAUAAGGAACUUCUGAAAGAUAUAUUGCACAAUGGGAACUCUCAAUUCCCUUGGCAAUGGCUUUGGAAAUCUAAGGCUCCCCCUAAGUGGAUUUUUUUCUGCUGGGAGGCAGUUUGGGGUAAAAUCCUAACAAUGGAUAACUUGCAAAGGAGAGGCAUUUCGUUGGUGAACCAAUGUUGCCUCUGUAAAGCAGGUUUGGAAUCUAUCAGCCAUCUUCUCUUGCACUGCGUGUGGUUUUCUAAAAUUUGGGCAAAUGUUGUGAUGAUGCUGGGCAUUUCUUGGGUCAUUAAUUCUUCAGUGGAUAAGGAAUUAUUGGCUUGGAAGGGUGCAGGCAGGGACAAAAGGCAAGGAAGUUUUAUCCAAUUAAUUCCAAUUUCUGUGAUGUGGAUGCUAUGGCUGGAGAGGAAUUACAGAGUGUUCAAAAACAAAAGAAUCUUCCAUAGACACUUUCUUAGUCACCUGGUUUGAUUGCCUUAGGUUCUGGGGCACUUCCUUUUCUGGGAACAUUUUUGAUCAUCUGUCUAUCUCCCCCCUGUAAUCUGUUUGGGCUGCACCCCCUUGGUGCUUGAAUAAAACUUUUUCCAUUCAAAAAAAAAAAAUCAUUCAUGCACAAUAGGAUUUUCCUACCACGAUUUAUGAAGA